Molecule: ribosomal RNA, 263 nt
Filed under: uncultured Caldisericum sp.
Lineage: Bacteria; Pseudomonadati; Caldisericota; Caldisericia; Caldisericales; Caldisericaceae
Description: partial 16S ribosomal RNA
Rfam family: Bacterial small subunit ribosomal RNA
Source: RNAcentral
GCGAAAGCAUAUGCACUCUAAGGGACCGGCCAGCGGGAAAGGCUGGAGGAAGGUGGGGAUGACGUCAAAUCCUCAUGGCCUUUAUGUCCAGGGCUACACACAUGCGACAAUGGUCGAGACAACGCGUUGCAAACCAGUAAUGGUAAGCUAAUCGCAUAAAAUCGACCUCAGUACGGAUUGAGGGUUGCAAUUCACCCUCAUGAAGCUGGAGUUGCUAGUAACCGCAGGUCAGCUAUACUGCGAUGAAUACGUUCCCGGGGCUU